Molecule: microRNA precursor, 89 nt
Filed under: Otolemur garnettii (small-eared galago)
Lineage: Eukaryota; Metazoa; Chordata; Mammalia; Primates; Galagidae
Description: miRNA (ENSOGAG00000024329.1)
Source: RNAcentral
CACCGCUGCCCCGCCCGCCCCCGACUAGCCAAGCCCAGCGGAGGGCGGCGGCGGCGGCGGCGGCGGCGGCGGCGGCUGCUGGAGCGGCC